Molecule: long non-coding RNA, 492 nt
Organism: Ipomoea nil (Japanese morning glory)
Lineage: Eukaryota; Viridiplantae; Streptophyta; Magnoliopsida; Solanales; Convolvulaceae
Exons: 3
Source: RefSeq, a predicted model, not a curated record
AAAAUAUCAGCCAAUUGAUCUGCAGAGUUGACAAAGCUUGUUUUGAUACACCCUGACACAAUCUUCUCUCUAAUAAAGUGACAAUCAACCUCAAUGUGUUUGGUUCUCUCAUGAUAAACUGGAUUUGAGGCGAUGUGUAGAGCAGCUUGGUUGUCACAUAUCAAUGCAAUUUGAGCAACCUUGCCACAUUGCAACUCUUGUAGUAAGUGCUUCAACCACAUAAGCUCACACGUGGCAAAGGCCAUGGCUCGGUAUUCAGCUUCAGCACUGGACCUGGCAACAACAUCUUGCUUCUUACUUUUUCAAGAUAUGAGAUUACCACCAAUGAGUACACAAUAACCCGAAGUAGAGCGCCGGUCAAACGGACAACCAACCCAAUCUGCUUUAGAAUACCCAACAACCUGAGCAUGUCCUCUAUCUUCAUAUAGUAAACCUUGUCCUGGUGCUCUCUUGAUAUACCUUAGAACCCGAACAACAGAUCGGAAGACCACA